GACUAGCCCUGCGGAUGCCCUUCCUGGGAGAGCAGCCCCUGGAUGAAUGGGUGAAGGAAUUGGAGCUCCGGGUAUGGCAGGAGAUGUGGCUGGAAGAUGCCUACCAGGCGCUCUGGUGGUAUGGGGCACAGUACCUGCCCUGGACAGCUGAGCAUGACAAGCCAGAGGGAGAGGAGUUUGAUGGUCCUGGUUUGUUAUGGG
Non-coding RNA from Pelobates cultripes (western spadefoot toad), 201 nucleotides. NCBI's taxonomy places the organism in Eukaryota, Metazoa, Chordata, Amphibia, Anura, Pelobatidae. The record is from the annotation of a GenBank genome assembly.